AACGGCCAUACCAUGCUGAAUAUACCGGUUCUCGUUAGAUCACCGAAGUUAAGCAUCAUUGGGCGCGGUCAGUACUUGGGUGGGUGACCACCUGGAAACACUGCGUGCCGUU
This 112-nucleotide ribosomal RNA is filed under the name Caerostris darwini. The record is from RNAcentral. Lineage: Eukaryota; Metazoa; Arthropoda; Arachnida; Araneae; Araneidae.